Mugil cephalus (flathead mullet) is the source of this 715-nucleotide long non-coding RNA. RefSeq lists it as uncharacterized. The record is from RefSeq and is a predicted model, not a curated record. The transcript has 3 exons. NCBI's taxonomy places the organism in Eukaryota, Metazoa, Chordata, Actinopteri, Mugiliformes, Mugilidae.
GUGAAAUGUGCCAGUAAAUACAGAGACCGGGAAAAUGUGGAUUAUCAAAUCAAAUUAUGGACAAUUGGACUCGACAUUGAUCCAUACUAACUAGUAUUGAUUUGGAAAAGUGGAUUUGCCUCAGUCUGAAUAAGUAUAGCAGAGAAUGGAGAUUGGAACAAGACCUGCAGGCAGUAACUACUGCUGUAGACCCAGUCAGCUGCUCCAGGUGUCACCUGGAUGCGCGCUGCGUACACUUUCCACACUUCGUGCUCUGUUUUCCUAAACCCCAAUCUAUUCUCAACGUGACGCCUGAAGUCCCACAGCGCCGACAUCAGCCUCUGCAGAGCGUCGUCACAGACGCGAUGACCCACCUGGGGGAGAGAGGCGGACGCGCACAAAUUGAGGAAGUUCGAUGUCCUGCUGCCGAAACUGUAUAAUGUCAAUCUGGGAAAUGCAGCUAAUGCCGUAAUGAAAUUCAGUUGACCGAGUAGCCAAAAUAUCCAUUUGGGACAGCAGACGAUAAUCUCCCCAUGGCUGCAUCUUAUCAGAAUGAAGCAAGGCACAGAGCUUCCUAAUGAUUUGGCACAACGUUGCAAUCAAAACACACCAAGACCUAAGAUUUCUGGUUAAUGGAGGGGACGCAAAGCAUGUGACGUGGCGUCUCCAGUAACGAACUUGAACAACGAGACACCUGGAGAUUCAUUAAAUAAGACAUAACAUCAGUUUUACAGAU